CAGUAGCCGCGGGAAUACGUAGGGUGCGAGCGUUAAUCGGAAUUACUGGGCGUAAAGCGUGCGCGGGCGGUUUUGUAAGACAGGCGUGAAAUCCCCGGGCUCAACCUGGGAAUGGCGCUUGUGACUGCAAAGCUAGAGUGCGGCAGAGGGGGAUGGAAUUCCGCGUGUAGCAGUGAAAUGCGUAGAUAUGCGGAGGAACACCGAUGGCGAAGGCAAUCCCCUGGUCCUGCACUGACGCUCAUGCACGAAAGCGUGGGGAGCAAACAGGAUUAGAUACCCGUGUAGUCCCUGUCUCUUAUAC
RNAcentral lists this ribosomal RNA (301 nucleotides) under uncultured bacterium. RNAcentral's name for it is "partial 16S ribosomal RNA". It matches the Rfam family "Bacterial small subunit ribosomal RNA", at positions 509 to 807 of the family's 1533-position model. The record is from RNAcentral.